CGAACGCUGGCGGCGUGCUUAAUACAUGCAAGUCGUGCGAGAAAGUCCGAUUUCGGUUGGGCGAGUAAAGCGGCGAACGGGUGAGUAACACGUGGACAAUCUGCCCUUAAGUCUGGGAUAAUCUCCCGAAAGGGGGUCUAAUACCGGGUAAUAUCACGAGAUGGCAUCAUCUUGUGAUCAAAGGCGGGGCAACCUGCCGCUUAGGGAUGAGUCCGCGUUCCAUUAGCUUGUUGGUGGGGUAACGGCCUACCAAGGCGACGAUGGAUAGCCGACCUGAGAGGGUGACCGGCCACACUGGGACUGAGAUACGGCCCAGACUCCUACGGGAGGCAGCAGUAGGGAAUAUUGCGCAAUGGACGAAAGUCUGACGCAGCAACGCCGCGUGGGUGAUGAAGCAUCUUGGUGCGUAAAACCCUGUCAGUGGGGAAGAAACGCAUAGGGAGUAACUGCCCUGUGCCUGACGGUACCCGCAGAGGAAGUUCCGGCUAACUCC
RNAcentral lists this ribosomal RNA (493 nucleotides) under uncultured bacterium. RNAcentral's name for it is "bacterial SSU rRNA". It matches the Rfam family "Bacterial small subunit ribosomal RNA", at positions 30 to 504 of the family's 1533-position model. The record is from RNAcentral.